AACGCGAAGAACCUUACCAACCCUUGACAUGGGUAUCGCGGAUUCCAGAGAUGGUUUCCUUCAGUUCGGCUGGAUACCACACAGGUGCUGCAUGGCUGUCGUCAGCUCGUGUCGUGAGAUGUUCGGUUAAGUCCGGCAACGAGCGCAACCCACACCCUUAGUUGCCAGCAUUCAGUUGGGCACUCUAGGGGAACUGCCGAUGAUAAGUCGGAGGAGGGUGGGGAUGAGGUCAAGUCAUCAUGGCCCUUACGGCCAGGGCUACACACGUACUACAAUGGUCGGUACAGAGGGUUGCGAGACCGCGAGGUUUAGCCAAUCCCAGAAAACCGAUCCCAGUCCGGAUCGGAGUCUGCAACUCGACUCCGUGAAGUCGGAAUCGCUAGUAAUCGCAGAUCAGCUAUGCUGCGGUGAAUACGUUCCCGGGUCUUGUACACACCG
Molecule: ribosomal RNA, 438 nt
Filed under: uncultured bacterium
Lineage: Bacteria
Description: bacterial SSU rRNA
Rfam family: Bacterial small subunit ribosomal RNA
Source: RNAcentral